CUGAUACUGGCAAGAUCGAGUCCAGUAGAGGGGGGGAAGAUUCAAGGUGGAGCGGUGAAAUGCGUAGAGAUGUGGAGGAAUACCGGUGGGGAAGGCGGCCCCCUGGGCGAGGCCUGACGCUCAGGUGCGAAAGCGUGGGGAGCAAACAGGAUUAGAUACCCUGGUAGUCCACGCCGUAAACGAUGUCGACUUGGAGGUUGUGCCCUUGAGGCGUGGCUUCCGGAGCUAACGCGUUAAGUCGACCGCCUGGGGAGUACGGCCGCAAGGUUAAAACUCAAAUGAAUUGACGGGGGCCCGCACAAGCGGUGGAGCAUGUGGUUUAAUUCGAUGCAACGCGAAGAACCUUACCUGGUCUUGACAUCCACGGAAGUUUUCAGAGAUGAGAAUGUGCCUUCGGGAACCGUGAGACAGGUGCUGCAUGGCUGUCGUCAGCUCGUGUUGUGAAAUGUUGGGUUAAGUCCCGCAACGAGCGCAACCCUUAUCCUUUGUUGCCAGCGGUCCGGCCGGGAACUCAAAGGAGACUGCCAGUGAUAAAC
RNAcentral lists this ribosomal RNA (536 nucleotides) under Escherichia coli. Its description in RNAcentral is "bacterial SSU rRNA". It matches the Rfam family "Bacterial small subunit ribosomal RNA", at positions 627 to 1163 of the family's 1533-position model. Lineage: Bacteria; Pseudomonadati; Pseudomonadota; Gammaproteobacteria; Enterobacterales; Enterobacteriaceae. The record is from RNAcentral.